ACCGUGGUGGUUCAGUGGUAGAAUUCUCGCCUUCUAUGUGGGGGACCUGGGUUCGAUUCCCGGCCAAUGCA
This 71-nucleotide transfer RNA is filed under the name Loxodonta africana (African savanna elephant). It matches the Rfam family "tRNA". From Rfam's summary of the family: Transfer RNA (tRNA) molecules are approximately 80 nucleotides in length. Their secondary structure includes four short double-helical elements and three loops (D, anti-codon, and T loops). Further hydrogen bonds mediate the characteristic L-shaped molecular structure. tRNAs have two regions of fundamental functional importance: the anti-codon, which is responsible for specific mRNA codon recognition, and the 3' end, to which the tRNAs corresponding amino acid is attached (by aminoacyl-tRNA synthetases). tRNAs cope with the degeneracy of the genetic code in two manners: having more than one tRNA (with a specific anti-codon) for a particular amino acid; and 'wobble' base-pairing, i.e. permitting non-standard base-pairing at the 3rd anti-codon position. The record is from Rfam by way of RNAcentral. Lineage: Eukaryota; Metazoa; Chordata; Mammalia; Proboscidea; Elephantidae.